CUGGUUAAAUAUUUCAGUAAUCCCUUAGAGAAACUUCUCAUUCUCUUUACAUGAAAUGCUGAGUAUUUUCAGGUUCUCUGCCCCUCUCCAGUAGUGCCUGGAGAUAUGGGGAUGGUGUAUAGUUUUCAUGACCUUGUGGGGCAGGAGGGAAAUAUACUCCUUAAAUCCACCUUGUGUUCUCCAGAUCAUCAGGGUUUCUCUAAUGGAAUAACUAAUUUGGGCUUCUCCCUGGACUGGUAACUGAGAUCUGAACUUACCAUCCCUGAUCAUCAUACUGGUAUCUGAUGCUGAAUGGAUUGUGCUCAUGACCUAACCUUGGAUUUUUAAUUUGUUUAUUUGGCUAGGAUACAUGCCUGUAGGCUGGUUGGUUUCACUUUGGAUUUUAUUGGAUGUGAAAUUCCUCUCAGCAUUCACUGUUUUUUUUUGUUUUUUUUUUUGUUUUGUUUUUACCUGGCUCACAGGUCAGCCAGUCUAUACCAAAGCUUCUGCUCCAGUACCAUCUCUUGCGUUGCUGUGGUGGUCCAAACAGUAGGCAUUCUAACUAUCUGCUCAGCUCCUUUACAUAGUUCAACUGUAUGACAUUAAGGAGCAUUUGAGUCUCAAUCAUACCAUGCAGGACUCAAGAGGUGCUCAGGAAAGCAGCAUUCCUGCCUGCCUUCUAGCUUAAUCAGUUUUUCCUAGAAACGCCAUUUGACAUGGCCACUCUCAAGAUUCUGUUAUAGGGCAAGUUUCAAGGGAAUCUCCUUCAAAUAUUUUAAAUGUGAAGUGUUGCAACACCUUGCCUUGACAUUUCAUGAUGUUAUACACCUCUCCAUUCUGGGACCAAACAUGGAGAAAGAAUAUCAAAACACAUAUGUUUUAACUUCUGUCUUUCUUACCUGAAUCAACUUUUUUGUGCCAUCAAUCAUAAUGGUGGAAAUAGGCAUUGGACUCCUCCCUUCUUCAACAUCCUAUCUGGAUACUGGAUCCUUCCCUUCUUCAGCAUCCUGUUUAGAAGUGGUCUAGUAUGCUUCUUGUUAAAUUUCAGUGCUAAAUCAAUUAGAAUAUUAUUUUCUGUCUUUGGAAGACCUGUCUUUCAAGCCCAUUUUUUAGCUAUGAACUUGGAAAUCCUACUUUGGUUGUCAGAGGAUAUGUAUUAAUCCUUUCUUUUUCAUAUAGUUUAUCAGUUAGAUGUUUGUUAUAGAGAACACAGACAACUCUUCCAAACCUACAAAGAAAAUGAUUCAUUGCCAGAUAUUUAAUGGCUGAAAAUAUCGUCAAUAGAACUUGCUUCAGGCCAAAAUUCCAGGAACAACUCUUAAUCUCCAGAAUCACACUGCAAGAUGCAGUUCCAUGGUUCAAAAUCGUGAAGUUGCUUACUUCAGAAUGAUGCCACAUUCAGGAAACUGCUGCUAUUACUAAGGAAAUUCUCUAAAUCAAGUGGUCAUUAACUGUAGAGUCAUAUUGCUGGUGACAUGCUUCAAUAGAAUGGAUGCAUCACACCUUGACUUUUUCCACUUUGUACAAUUCCAAAUUCAGAGAAUGCAUGAGAACAUAUAAUGGAUGGGAGCUAAAUAAAAUCUUGAAUCCCAGUUAUAAGAAAAUAUAAAAAUAUAAUCUUUAUCAGAAUCUGUACUUCAAGAAAGUACAAUAGAAAGAAGUUGACAUAGAUACUAAAUGAGCUAAUCUAUGGUAUCCAUUAAUGCAAAGCAUUAAAGGUACUGCAUUAGCAUAGAGUGAUUUUAAUAUAUUUAAAAUAUCUUGUUUGGUAUUUACUUAUUGCUAUUAUUUAUUUUUACUAUUAUUUACAUGACAGUUUAAAAAAUUUAAAUCCUCCUCAAACACAUAGGUAGCUCAAGGUAACAAGAGAGUUAUGAACACUUAAAAUGUGUAGGAGAAAACCUCAUUAAUAUAUGCCUGUGAUGUUUGUACAUUAACAUAAAUUUUUAAGACAGACACAAAUUCAGACAGGCUCACUAUUUUCCUGACCUUAUUAUAUCUGAAAUAUCAUAAUACUCAAGGUUACUUAGUGGACAUUUGCCAUUUGUUUAAAUCCACCCAAAAUGGAACUGUAAAUAGUCUAAAUUCAUAUCUCAGAAUUUACCUUUUUCUACAGCUAAUUUCUCUUCUCCAUUCUCAUUAUCUUUGACUUAUUGUAUUCUCUUCUACUUCUCCUUUCCUAGAUUUUUUCAUUAAAUUAUCUUAUUUGAUUCCCUUUACUCUUCAUCUUGCCUUUUAUCAUUUCUUUGCUUUUUGUUUUUUCAUCAUUCUGAGUAUAUUUGUAUUACCCAGACAUUUGGGAAGCAUUAUUCUACUUUUAUAACAUUUCUGUUAUUAGAAGUUAAAUUGACUUGAAAUAUUUAAUCAUGUGUGUAUAUUUUAAUAGCAUGCUGAAAAUUAAUAUAAUGACUAGCCUAUUUCCAAAGAUUGAAUGCUUACUUUAAUUCUGUCUUUGGUAAUAAUAGAAUCAGAUCCAUAUCCAAUAGAAAUUAAUUAAUUAUAGAGGAAGAUGAUGCCUUUCCUCGUUGCUUGCACUGCUUUAAUGUAUGUAUAAUACCUAUUUUAUCACAAUUUGUAAAUCCCCAACAAUGCCUAGAAAGGUUUUAUCAUGGUAGAUACUUAAUUCUUAUUCAUUAGAAUUUGGCUAUAGGUUUUUUUCACUUUACUCCUAGCAUUUUUGACAAAAUUCCAGAGGAGAUUCAGAAAUUAACAGAGUAAUUAAAACUGGUCAGAAAAAUGAGCAAAACAGAACAUGCCAUUUAAUAACUGAAUAAAAAAAGAGUUCCAAACAACCAGCUUAUAAGUAGGAGUGAUGCAUUUCCUUUUGAUCUUUACCAACAAGUGGAAUUGCUGGAUUGUAUGACAGCUCUAUUCUGAUGGACCUCCAUACUGCUUUCUAUAAUGGUUGUACCAAUUUACAUUCCACCAACAGUGUGCAAGGGUUGUCUCUUCUCCACACCCUUGCCAACAAUUUUUAUUUCUUGUUUUUUAAUCAUCAUUUUUGUAAUACAUAUUAUUUAUAAUUUUUCAGACUACUAUAAUUAAACACAUUUUGCUCUUUAUUGAUAAUGUGUGUUCUUAUUUUGAAUAUUUAUCAUUAAACAUUGUAAUAACACAAAUCUGUGUGAAUUUUUGUGUGUCCAAGCUUCCUUCUUUAGUACCAAGUGGUCGCUUCCACUUUACUCGUCCAUUUCUUGUGGAUUUCAGUUUCUAAUUCCGGAUGGGCUUGAAAAUCAGAACACUAUUCAGCUUAAGCUUUGAGUGAUACAGUAGUUUAUAAAUUCCUAAACGUGGUUCCAACAAGUGUAUUAUGUAGCUUUAGCUCAUACUAAAGCUGUAAAGUAUUUCAGAUACCUAGUCCAUGAAUUUUCUAAUAAUUUAGGGGAGGUUCCCAAACUGAGGUAGUAUUAAAAUAUUGAGGAAAUCAAAAAUAAUAUUUGAGUCAUUAAAAUCAAAGUAAUGAGCAAUCAGAGAGAUGAUUUAAGUCAUUUUAGGGAAAAGUUUCCCUUAUUACAGAGGAGCAUGGUAAAUCAAUGCAUGAGAGACUAAAUAAUUAUUUUAGAUGUGUUGUGCAAUGUCCAGCAGAAUUUAAAUCACAGAAAGGUUUACAUUUGAACAGUGAAAGAUACCUGCAGUAUUCAUAGAUACCUGCGAAUAGUUAGGCAAAUAUGUUUUCAAAUAAAAUACAAAGUUUACACUUGUUUUGCCUAACACGGUUGUACAGGCCAAUGAUUAAAUGCACCAACUUUGGAAUCAAGAUUUCCUGGAUUCAAAUUCAAGCUCCACCAUUGGCAAAUUAUUUAACCUACAUGUGCCUCAGUUCCCUCAUCUAUAUGUGGAGGCAAUAGUUACACUCUCUUAUAAUGUUUUUGUUAGCAUUGUCAGAAGAUAGCUCAUGUGGAGCAUUUUAGAAGAAUACUUAUGUUUAACAGCCAACAGGUUUGCUUAUUAAACUGUAGAGAAAAAUUAAAAAGAAAAAUCAAGAAGUUCUUCACUAGUUUAAUUUUUCUACAAAUGAUAAAAUGUUUCUGAUUAUAUAUGCUAUGAAUUUGUUUAAUGUCUUGUUGAGGCAUCUGAAGUGUGUGUGCAUGUAAAUAUUGGCACAUUUCUGAACACAAUUUACACCGAGCCAAAGAGAGUCACUAAUAUUUGUUAAAUUGCUUUUCUAAAGUGGGAAAAGUAGCAUCUUUUCCAAAGGGUGCUUUAUUCACACUAACUAAUUAAGUGAAUGAGCUUUCUGGUUUUAAUUAAGUGGAGUGUUUGUAUAUGUAUAUGCUUGUUUAUAUACUCAGCAGCAAUAAGGGUGAGAUUUUAAUAUAGAAAGGAAGAAAUAGCCACUAAGAAAGUUCAAGCCCAUUCAAGUAAAAAUCCUAACCUGAUAGUUUUAGGCAAUGCAAAGUUAAUGGACUGGUUUGAAUUCCAUAAAGUGGUACUUUUUUAUCAUCUGAAAUGGCUCAUGGAUCUCAUAUGAACAUACCUAAUAUUUCUGGAGCAUUAACUCUUCAGAGGUAUAAUCACACUGUGUAUCAAUAAAGAUAAAAUACGUGAUAAGUGAAAUUUUGCUUUCUGGCUGCUUUGGGAUUAUGUGGCUAAUGACCAUCAGGCAGACACUCAGGCAAUUACAAUGGGGAGAUUUCUUAGCUCUGAAAGCACAGGCAAGAUUCCAAAAUGUGCAAAACAAGCAGAGCAUAGAGUAGGGGCAAAGGUGAUAUAUUCAUGGAUGAGUGCAAGUUUUGGUUUUCAGGAGUUCAAGGAGCAAGUCUGUUCAGAAUAUUGUUAUAAAGCAGAUAGAGGACAAAAGCAUAAUUGAAAUAACCGGAAUGUACAUAGGCUAACUGCAUUGCUUUAUGUGGUGUGGUUCUGUGGAAAGAUUAUUAGACUUACAAGAGUGAGGACUCACAGUUCUGCCAGCAAAUAAGCUGAGUGGCUUCAGACAAGCCACUUUACUUAUCUCUGGGCCUCAGUUUUCCCGUUUAUGGAUUAAAGACAUUCACAGACAUUGGCUGAGUGCCCGCAAUGUGCCAGCUAUUGAGCUAAACUUGGGAUGCUAGAAAAGACAAUCCCUUUUCUGGAUUAGGAAGUUUACAUUUUAAAGAUGCAAGAAGGCACUAAACAAGGGCAGUGAGGUACAACAAGCUCUGUGGUUUUAUUUCUCCUAAAUGGGAGGAAACAUAGAGAGGAAGAAAAGUAUGCAAUCUCAGUUGCAAAUGGAGGCAGGGGCUCACCAUGUUCUCUGAUACGAUUGUACCGCCCAUUGGUAAGAAUCAGAGGCUGAAAAGAUUCUGUUACUGAAACUCAACACUUAGUUGAUACCUGCUACAACUUUAACUACUCGUUGACUGUUUACGGCUUUUGCUGUAAGUUGGAGUAUGGUGACAAACACACAACAGGAGUCUAAAAACUCAAACGUAUCUAAAAGCCAUGACACAGAAGGCCUGGAGACUGCAUGGAAUGAUGAGGACUGCAGUGAACUCUGAAGUGCCUACCCAUGUGAAACGAACAAGUGCUAUUCGGAAGAAGCAGGUUGUGUUAAUCUGAGGCCUUUGAGAUACUAUAUGAACUGCUCCAACAUUCUGAAGAGAAGGUCUGGAUCAUUUAAGUAGGACUUGCAAAGAAAGUGGCCUAGAUCCUUAGCUGAGCUGAUCACUUACCUCAAACCUAUAAAGAAGUGGAGGGGCCAAGAAUAGGUGUUGGAUAUCAGCGGGAGAGUUUCAUCAAAGAGCUGUCAGUUUCAUCUCAACCUUACCCUCCAGGAGAGGUGAAGACUAAAGCACCAACUGAGGAGAAAAGAUUUUCAGUGUCAGUGAAGUUAAAACAUGUCAGCGGCAGUUGCUUCUGUGAAUAUUGUCUCACAUGAAAGGAAGGAUGGAUUGAAUUCAUAUCUGAAACAAGACAAGAUUUUCCAUCUGACCUCAUUAUGUGUUUCUCUGGAGUGCAUCCCUGGGUUUCUGCCUGAACUGAAAUGUGUUGUGGGGAAACCAAAUAUAAAACAGCUCAGUACUGCCAUAACUGACGUGUCUUAAUAAGAUGGGGUAUUUAUUGUUUUGCCACAGUCCUCUCUUAACUCUAAAAGUCAUUAUGAUGUGCUAGAUCCCUUUGUUAAAGCAAUUCCCAUAAGUGAAGGCAUGUACUAAUGAAAAGGUUUAUGCUACAUGGCUGGAAACAAGGAUGAAGUAGCAUUACUGUGUAUAACAGAGAUUCAUAUUGAGAAAUAUUUAUGGAAAGAUUUUUAGAGACUUGACUGUUGUAUUCUUAUAAAUAAUUAAAUGUACAAAUCAUCAUUGUUACAAUACAGCCAGUUUCCUUUUCUGUGAGCACUGGUGAUCGAUUCAAAAAUAUAUUGAUUUAAGGAAAUUUAUAGCAUUUUUCAUUGCUCCUAGUAAUACUAGAAAAUUUUUCACAGGUCAGAAAUAAUAGAAAACUUUCCCCUAGAUUAACCUUGUGCCACACAGACAGAUUUUCUUUAUUCUAAUGUAUCAUAAGGAAAGGCAUAAUGUCUUUCAGUUUUAUUUGUACAAUGGCUUAUAUGUCUUUAUGAGCAUAUAUAUUUGCAUCUAUCAUACUAAUUGAUAAAGAAAUAUGUCAUUGUCUGCAUUACUAUAUGUGUAUAAAUGUUUUUAUAUAUGUACAUACACACACUAUGAUUCUAUUUUUCAAAAUAUAGUGAAGGUAAGGAAAAUAUUAGUUAGAACUCCAACACCUACCACCACUAAAAUAUGUUUUAAUAACCUUUGAGCUAUUCUGUAAACUAAAUUACCAUUAUACCUAAGAAUAAAUCAAUGGCAAUAUACUAUUCAAAAAGUUAAUCGCAUAGAUCUCUGUAUGUAUACAUGUAAAUUUAUAUAUAAUGUAGAUAUAGUGAGAUGCAUUAUUUUGUUGAAAUUAGUGUCACUCUUCUGUGUUUAUUUAUACUAAAUAAUUUGAAAAACAUUUUAGAUUUUUAGUUGCUAUAGUAACACACCAUUAGACCAUUUUUCCAAUGUUGUAUAUUUUAUAAAACAGUAAGUACGAAACUAUAGAUGUGAUAAAUAAGCUAACAUAGACAAGUUUUCAGGUUUCAACACAAUCCUUUGGUUGAUAUGUUCAGCAUGGACUCUAAACAUUUCUGGCACACAAUGAACCUUUUAAAUUUGCCACCUGAGGAGAACUAUUCUUUUGGAAAUUGAAAUGCUGUGUAAUCUGUGACACUUUUACUUUAUAAAAAAUAACUUUUUUAUUCAAAUAGCAAAGAAUUAUGAAAUAUGUACUGCAUUCUUAGCAUUUUGCCUAAAGCUAGGGAUGCAGAGAUUACGGGGAGGUCCCUACAUUCAAGAGGCCACCUAUCAACUACAGAGCUCACUUCCUAAUAUUAAACUGUUGUGAGCAACCAAAUUAAAAAUGUACAUACAUGAUAGUUCACCUUCUAAGAAGUGGAGCUUAAUGUUACCUCCUUUGAAGUAUGAGUAAUUCCCAAAUAAUAGGGUAGGGAAAGGAGUUUUUUAUUAGUAGGGAAACCUGAUAAACCUACAUUUACCAAGUGAUGAAGGUUAAUCUUAUCAGUCAUGUUAAUGUAAAUAUCAUUUUCUGCCGCUAUAAUGUGAUGAGAAGAAAUUUUCACCUCUCUGGUAUUCUUUCCAAAAAUUUAUAUCCUGACUAAUCUGAGAAAAAAAAAAUUAGACCAACCCAGAUUGGGUGACGAUUCUACAGGAUACCUAGCCAGUAAUCCUCAAGACUGUCAAGGUUAUAAAAAACAAAGAAAGCCUAAGAAUCUUUCACAGGCCAUUGGAGCUUGGGAAGCCAAGAUAACCCAGUGCAAGGUAGUACCCCAAAUUAGACAUGGAACAUAAAGAGAACAUUAAGGACUAACUGGUGAAAUGCAAACAAAGUCUGGAGUUCAGUUGAAAAAUAAAACAAUUUAUAUAUAACUUUAAAGUCUAACAAUUAGGUCUGUUACAUUAGAAAAGAUAAACUGUAGUUUUAUCAAACAGCAGAUCAACUAAAAACUAUCCAGUUGUCAAGAAUGAAGGAAAUUUAGCACUCCAAUAGCCAGGCUAAUGUCACAUAAGUAUUGUGUCACAGAUCACAACAUGUGAACCUACAAUUAAGGAUCUUGAAACAUCUUUGGCCAGUGGUUUGCAAACUCUUUUUCGCAGAGCACUAGGAGCGUCUCAGACAGCAGUAUGGAUGAGUGAGAAGACAUGACAUUAGCCAUGCACCUAUCCCCAAUUUAACAUAAUAUUUUAUUUCACAAGAAGAAUCCAUGGCUUAGAAAAAAUACAAGAAAAUCAGUAUGAAAAAAUCAGUAACCUAGAGAGGUGCUUAUUAAACGUCAACGGGUAUACACAUCACAGAAGAUCUUUAAAGGCCAAUAUUGAUUCAGUAGUUCUGGGGUGGAGCCUGAAAUUCUGCAUUUAUGAUGAGUAAUGUCUACCCUAGGAGAUGAAGAUGUUGCUCGUCAGAGAAAAACACUGUAAGUAGGAAGGAUCUAGCUCAAAUGUUAAACUCUUCUCAUGUCAGUACGUUUCAUAGAGGAAAGUUUGCUGUUAUGUUUAAUGGGUUUUAUGACUUCAAUAGCAACACAUCAAAAUCCUUCUCAGUUAGUGAGUUGGAAAAAAUUAUGAAAACUGAGUUUUUUAAACUACACUUCUAUCCAUACCUCAUCCUUCAGUCCCCUUAAUCUAACUCGUAUUUAUUAUAACAACCUCCAGAACCAGACCUUACUCAGCCACGUCCUCUAUCUAGACUAUCCUCUCAUCAUGUCAUUCUAUAACCAGCCAUUUCAUCAAUGAAUUUGGACCCAACUGAGAUGUUCUUCUACCAAUUAUACUUUAUCAUACUCCAUGUCAAGCCGAGCAUCAGGUAGUAUGCACUAUCAAUUACAUCUUUCCAGGAAAAGGGAAGAAAAUUGAUGUUUUGGUUUUGUAAAAACCUAUGCUUUUGUAUUUCAUCUGGGCUCUUACCUGCCUACUCACAUUUUAAAAAUGUACUUCAUAUUGACCCUUAGUACAUUUUCCACAGGAUUGUUCCAAGCUUUCUGCUCUCUCAGAGGUCAUAUUUUAUUCCAAAACAUUUAUCACUUGAUCUUAUUUUCUGCUUCUCAAGAUUGAGAUUCUGGAACUCAAAAUAUCUUUCCCCCAUCCUGAUAUUGCCUCAAACUACUGCACAUCACAAGUAAGAUAGCUGCUUUUAGAAGUAUUUGGGAGCUUCUUCAAUUUCAGAUUGUUCUCAUAGGUUUUCUGAGCUUCUAACUAAUUAUUUGUAUCUCCCUUGCUACCUUUAAAAAAAGUUACUGUAAAAGUAAUUUGUAAACUUGUGUUUGAAAUCAGAGGUCUAACUCUCUGGUUUUAAGUCUUAGUGCUACUAUUUUCUAGCUUUAUGAUUUUGAGCAAGUUUGCUUCACUUUAUGAGCUCUAAUAUUUUUAUCUCAAAAACAAUGAUAAUAAUGACCAUUAUGUCACAUUUCUGCUUUAUGAACUGAAUGAGAUAAUAUAUGCAAAAUGUCUAGACCUGUGCCUGUCAGUAAUGUUAGAUAAAUUGUCAGUUAUUACUAUUACAUAUCUGCAGUCAUUCUUUUGGAUAGCUUGUCUGAUCUCAUUUUAUCUUUAUAUAAUCUUUACCUGUAUUUCCAACCCAGUUUCUUGAUAUCACAUUAUCUUGCUUUAUAACUCAGUUUCUAGAUGACAACUGGAACCGGAUAAUUCUUUGUUGUGGGGAGCUGUCCUGUGCAUUGUGAAAUGUUUGGCAAUAUUUCUAGCCUUUAUCCCCCAGAUGCCAGUAGCAACCCCCAGUUGCGACAAUGAAAACUGUCUCCAAAUAUCACCUAAUGUCCUCUGAGGUCCAAAAGCACCCCUGGUUGAGAACCAUCCUUCUAAUCUUUUUUAAGGAUAUGCUUAUAUGGAUGCCUCUUUGAUGCCUCAACAUAUGGGCAAAGGUAAAUGUAUCAUAUUCUCAAUAAAUACGUUUUGUAUACUGUUUUA
Homo sapiens (human) is the source of this 9935-nucleotide long non-coding RNA. RefSeq lists it as uncharacterized. The record is from RefSeq and is a predicted model, not a curated record. The transcript has 5 exons. Lineage: Eukaryota; Metazoa; Chordata; Mammalia; Primates; Hominidae.